Molecule: ribosomal RNA, 207 nt
Filed under: uncultured bacterium
Lineage: Bacteria
Description: partial 16S ribosomal RNA
Rfam family: Bacterial small subunit ribosomal RNA
Source: RNAcentral
CACGCAGGCGGUCUGUCAAGUCGGAUGUGAAAUCCCCGGGCUCAACCUGGGAACUGCAUUCGAAACUGGCAGGCUAGAGUCUUGUAGAGGGGGGUAGAGUUCCAGGUGUAGCGGUGAAAUGCGUAGAGAUCUGGAGGAAUACCGGUGGCGAAGGCGGCCCCUGGACAAAGACUGACGCUCAGGUGCGAAAGCGUGGGGAAGCAAACA